UGACAAGAAAUAACAAUACAGGGCCUUUUAGGUCUUGUAAUUGGAAUGAGUACAAUUUACAUCUCUUCACGAGGAUCAAUUGGAGGGCAAGUCUGGUGCCAGCAGCCGCGGUAAUUCCAGCUCCAAUAGCAUAUAUUAAAGUUGUUGCAGUUAAAACGCUCGUAGUCGGAUUUCGGGGCGGGCCGGCCGGUCUGCCGAUGGGUAUGCACUGGUUGGCGCGUCCUUCCUCCCGGAGACCGCGCGGGAGACGGGACGUUUACUUUGAAAAAAUCAGAGUGUUUCAAGCAGGCAGUCGCUCUUGCAUGGAUUAGCAUGGGAUAAUGAAAUAGGACUCUGGUGCUAUUUUGUUGGUUUCGAACACCGGAGUAAUGAUUAACAGG
This 380-nucleotide ribosomal RNA is filed under the name Haptophyta environmental samples. Its description in RNAcentral is "SSU rRNA". It matches the Rfam family "Eukaryotic small subunit ribosomal RNA", at positions 468 to 876 of the family's 1831-position model. The record is from RNAcentral. Lineage: Eukaryota; Haptophyta.